This 274-nucleotide ribosomal RNA is filed under the name uncultured bacterium. Its description in RNAcentral is "partial 16S ribosomal RNA". It matches the Rfam family "Bacterial small subunit ribosomal RNA", at positions 523 to 796 of the family's 1533-position model. The record is from RNAcentral.
AUACGGAGGGUGCAAGCGUUACUCGGAAUCACUGGGCGUAAAGCGCGCGCAGGCGGCUUGAUAAGUUGGAUGUGAAAGCCUACGGCUCAACCGUAGAACUGCAUCCAAAACUGUCAGGCUAGAGUGUGAGAGAGGAAGAUGGAAUUAGUUGUGUAGGGGUAAAAUCCGUAGAGAUAACUAGGAAUACCAAAAGCGAAGGCAAUCUUCUGGAACACUACUGACGCUGAGGCGCGAAGGCGUGGGGAGCAAACAGAAUUAGAAACCCCGGUAGUCC